GCCCCUAUGGCCUAGUGGUAUGGCAUCGUUCUUAUGUAGCGAAGUGCCCCGGUUCGAUCCCGGGUGGGGGCA
RNAcentral lists this transfer RNA (72 nucleotides) under Penicillium paxilli ATCC 26601. Its description in RNAcentral is "tRNA-Ile (TAT) (tRNA-Ile-TAT-1-1, tRNA-Ile-TAT-1-2)". It matches the Rfam family "tRNA". Rfam says of the family: Transfer RNA (tRNA) molecules are approximately 80 nucleotides in length. Their secondary structure includes four short double-helical elements and three loops (D, anti-codon, and T loops). Further hydrogen bonds mediate the characteristic L-shaped molecular structure. tRNAs have two regions of fundamental functional importance: the anti-codon, which is responsible for specific mRNA codon recognition, and the 3' end, to which the tRNAs corresponding amino acid is attached (by aminoacyl-tRNA synthetases). tRNAs cope with the degeneracy of the genetic code in two manners: having more than one tRNA (with a specific anti-codon) for a particular amino acid; and 'wobble' base-pairing, i.e. permitting non-standard base-pairing at the 3rd anti-codon position. Lineage: Eukaryota; Fungi; Ascomycota; Eurotiomycetes; Eurotiales; Aspergillaceae. The record is from RNAcentral.